RNAcentral lists this ribosomal RNA (497 nucleotides) under uncultured bacterium. Its description in RNAcentral is "partial 16S ribosomal RNA". It matches the Rfam family "Bacterial small subunit ribosomal RNA", at positions 28 to 507 of the family's 1533-position model. The record is from RNAcentral.
GAUGAACGCUGGCGGCGUGCCUAAUACAUGCAAGUCGAGCGAACGGACGAGAAGCUUGCUUCUCUGAUGUUAGCGGCGGACGGGGGAGUAAAACGUGGAUAACCUACCUAUAAGACUGGGAUAACUUCGGGAAACCGGAGCUAAAACCGGAUAAUAUUUUGAACCGCAUGGUUCAAAAGUGAAAGACGGGCUUGCUGUCACUUAUAGAUGGAUCCGCGCUGCAUUAGCUAGUUGGUAAGGUAACGGCUUACCAAGGCAACGAUGCAUAGCCGACCUGAGAGGGUGAUCGGCCACACUGGAACUGAGACACGGUCCAGACUCCUACGGGAGGCAGCAGUAGGGAAUCUUCCGCAAUGGGCGAAAGCCUGACGGAGCAACGCCGCGUGAGUGAUGAAGGUCUUCGGAUCGUAAAACUCUGUUAUUAGGGAAGAACAUAUGUGUAAGUAACUGUGCACAUCUUGACGGUACCUAAUCAGAAAGCCACGGCUAACUACGUG